Long non-coding RNA from Bos taurus (domestic cattle), 914 nucleotides. NCBI's taxonomy places the organism in Eukaryota, Metazoa, Chordata, Mammalia, Artiodactyla, Bovidae. The record is from Ensembl.
GUUGAGUCUGGUACUUCCCAAUGACUAGUUGAACUGAACACACAGGUGUACGCAGUUCAGUGAACAGGUGAACUGGUGUUUUGCAUACAGGUGUUUUGCCUAGUUUUAAUUAUUCCCAUGUUUCCCCUGCCUUCUUAGUCCUGUAUUACAGCUGGUCUUUCCGCCCACAGUGUAUUUGCAGGCACCAAGAUGGCUCCGUCUAGAAGAUUUUGCUUCAGUUUUUCUUUGACCUUCAACUGACUGCUCUCAGUGCUUAUAGUUUGGAUCAAGGUGCAUGGAAUAGAAGAUUUUAUACUCAUAAGUUAUAGCCAACAGUGAACAUCUUCUGAUCUGCUUCAGCAAUAUGUGAACCGUGAACUUCUAGAUGUUCAAGCUGGUUUCAGAAAAGGCAGAGGAACCAGAGAUCAAAUUGCCAACAUCUGCUGGAUCAUCAAAAAAGCAAGAGAGUUCCAUAAAAACAUCUAUUUCUGCUUUAUUGACUAUGCCAAAGCCUUUGACUGUGUGGAUCACAAUAAACUGGAAAAUUCUGAAAGAGAUGGGAAUACCAGACGACCUGACCAGCCUCUUGAGAAACCUGUAUGCAGGUCAGGAAGCAACAGUUAGAACUGGACAUGGAACAACAGACUGGUUCCAAAUAUGAAAAGGAGUAUGUCAAGGCUGUAUAUUGUCACCCUGCUUAUUUAACUUCUAUGCAGAGUAUAUCAUGAGAAACGCUGGGUGGAAAGAAGCACAGCUGGAAUCAAGAUUGGUGGGAGAAAUAUCAAUAACCUCAGAUAUGCAGAUGACAUCACCCUUAUGGCAGAAAGUGAAGAAGAACUAAAGAGCCUCUUGAUGAAAGUGAAAGAGGAGAGUCAAAAAGUUGGCUUAAAGCUCAACAUUCAGAAAACGAACAUCAUGGCAUCCAGUCCCAUCAC